Molecule: ribosomal RNA, 319 nt
Filed under: uncultured eukaryote
Lineage: Eukaryota
Description: partial 18S ribosomal RNA
Rfam family: Eukaryotic small subunit ribosomal RNA
Source: RNAcentral
CCCUUAGAUGUUCUGGGCUGCACGCGUGCUACAAUGAAGCGUCCAACAAGAUGCGAAGCCGAAAGGCUCAGCGGAUCUUUGAAGUCGUUUCGUGACCGGGACAGUUGAUUGCAAUUAUUCGACUCGAACGAGGAAUUCCUUGUAAUCGCGAUUCAUCAUAUCGCGCUGAAUACGUCCCUGCCCUUUGUACACACCGCCCGUCGCUCCUACCGAUUGAGCGAUCCGGUGAAUUAUUUGGAGUGUCCACGCAAGCCAAUCCGUUUACGUGGGUGCGAAAUUUUGUAAACCUUAUCGCUUAGAGGAAGGAAAAGUCGUANCA